Molecule: long non-coding RNA, 1385 nt
Organism: Callithrix jacchus (white-tufted-ear marmoset)
Lineage: Eukaryota; Metazoa; Chordata; Mammalia; Primates; Cebidae
Source: RefSeq, a predicted model, not a curated record
AUGGGAAGAGCAACCGAGAUGAAGACUUCCACAGCCUACACACCCGCAGGAAGUAAACAGCUCGUUACCCAGAAUGCCCGCCGCUUCCGGUGCUUAAACUUCCUCUUCCGGUGUGGGCGGGCGCCGGCUCCGCCCCUACCCCCGCCAGAUGAGAUGGUUUCUCCCACCGGCAAGCGGGGAGGCGGGGCGGCCGGCUGCCACCUGGGCCCUGGCGCGUCCUCACCACCUGGGCCCGCGGAGGAAGCAUUGGGGCAGUGAAUCCAGUGUCUCCCUCUGGAUUAUCUCUGCAGACCCAGGACAGAUCCUAGGACAGCCCCACCCCUCCUUCCUAACUGCGAGAGCGCUGUAGGGUUUCCACUUGCCUCCCACAGGAAUGUUGGCUGGGUAGCUACGGCGGAAAAAAAUGCGUAUUUAUCUUUUAAAACUAUAUGUCUGUUUGCUCGUUUCGGCUGAUAAUUUAUAGUUUGCGCAGUUCUUAGUACUUAGACCACGCUUCCUUUACUAAAGAAUAUUUGUAGAUUAGUGUCCUUUUUUUCCCCUUUCAUUUCACGUAUAGGAAGCAAAAUGCCUUGUUCUAUGGGCACCAAACCACCACCACCCCUACCAAACCUUUCUUGGGGAAGCAGAAGGGGCACUUGUGCCGUGGUGAGGAAGCGACAGAGGCCCCUUCUGCCCCUGGAGACUUCAGGCCAACGGAGCACCAGCUCUCUUCGUCCUCCCAAUAGCCCGAGUGCAGGCAAAACACAGUCAUUUGUAUUUAUCUGAAAGGAGCUUUGGGAUAUAAAUAGUUUCAGGCCCCGCUGCUCUGUCCUUCCAGGUCAGCCUCCUGAUUGAAACUGAGCUGCUUCCGGGGAGGCUUACUUCUUAUUGCUGGUCCCAUGCUGUGUUCAGAUGGGUUCUGUGACAGGUUUGGAUGUUUUCUAUCACUGCAUAAAACUUUCCACUUUGGAACAUGUUUUCUACUGUCUGCUAUCUCACCUAAGUCCUGCAGCAACUAUGAAGUAGGCCCAUUUUAUGGACUGAAAAAGUGAGGCACAGAGUAUUGCCCAGGGUCACAAAGUCAAGUCACCGAAGCAUAAUGUGUGAAGUGAACAGUAUAAUAAUAUGACUGAAUCACAGUGGGAAUCUAGUUACGCUUUCUCUUUCCCUAAUCUCACUAAGCCACACUUUUAGGGGCUUACAAACCAUUUCUUAUUGCCAAGCUCUCUACCCUAUCCUUUGAUAAAUCGGAGCCUAGCCUCUGAUAACAGAAAUAAUUUAUUUCUCUUGAUGUAGAAAGAGAUGAAGUUGUUACCCUAAGUGACAGUCAUGACAGAACAAAACCACAAGACCAGACCACAUUUGUGGAUAAAUAUAUUAGCAAAUAAAUACAUUUCUCAACGUAG